GUGGUUGUUGCUGGCCCUCUCGGGGGCAUGUGCACACCCACCAUCCUCAUCUCUCCACCUGUGCACCUCUUGUAGACCUGGAUUGACUUUCCGAGGCAACUCGGUCGGGAAGAUUGCUGCGCUCUGUGAGCCAGCUUUCUUUGCAUGUCCAGGCCUAUGUUUUUCAUAUACCCCUAUAGAAUGUAACAGAAUGUAUCAUUGGGCCUUGUGCCUAUAAACCUUAUACAACUUUCAGCAACGGAUCUCUUGGCUCUCGCAUCGAUGAAGAACGCAGCGAAAUGCGAUAAGUAAUGUGAAUUGCAGAAUUCAGUGAAUCAUCGAAUCUUUGAACGCACCUUGCGCUCCUUGGUAUUCCGAGGAGCAUGCCUGUUUGAGUGUCAUUAAAUUCUCAACCUUAUUAACUUUUGUUGAUAAUGGAUUGGAUUGUGGGGGUUUCUUUUGCUGGCUUCUUCACAGAGAUCAGCUCCCCUUAAAUGCAUUAGCUGGUGCCCCGCGUGGACCAUCUAUUGGUGUGAUAAUUAUCUACGCCGUGGAUGUCUGCAAUCAUAUGGGUUUCGCACUGCUUCUAACCGUCUGUUCAUUCGGACAAUACAUGACAAUUUGACCUCAAAUCAGUAGGACUACCCGCUGAACUUAAGCAUAUCAAUAAGCGGARGAAAARAACUAACAAGGAUUCCCCUAGUAACUGCGAGUGAAGCGGGAAAAGCUCAAAUUUAAAAUCUGGCGGUCUCCGGCCGUCCGAGUUGWAUCUAAAAAAGUGUUAUCCGCCCUGGA
RNAcentral lists this ribosomal RNA (774 nucleotides) under uncultured fungus. RNAcentral describes it as "eukaryotic LSU rRNA". The stretch from base 227 to 380 matches the Rfam family "5.8S ribosomal RNA". The record is from RNAcentral. Lineage: Eukaryota; Fungi.